This 497-nucleotide ribosomal RNA is filed under the name uncultured bacterium. RNAcentral describes it as "partial 16S ribosomal RNA". It matches the Rfam family "Bacterial small subunit ribosomal RNA", at positions 28 to 507 of the family's 1533-position model. The record is from RNAcentral.
GAUGAACGCUGGCGGCGUGCCUAAUACAUGCAAGUCGAGCGAACAGACGAGGAGCUUGCUCCUCUGACGUUAGCGGCGGACGGGUGAGUAACACGUGGAUAACCUACCUAUAAGACUGGGAUAACUUCGGGAAACCGGAGCUAAUACCGGAUAGUAUAUUGAACCGCAUGGUUCAAUAGUGAAAGACGGUUUUGCUGUCACUUAUAGAUGGAUCCGCGCCGCAUUAGCUAGUUGGUAAGGUAACGGCUUACCAAGGCAACGAUGCGUAGCCGACCUGAGAGGGUGAUCGGCCACACUGGAACUGAGACACGGUCCAGACUCCUACGGGCGGCAGCAGUAGGGAAUCUUCCGCAAUGGGCGAAAGCCUGACGGAGCAACGCCGCGUGAGUGAUGAAGGUCUUCGGAUCGUAAAACUCUGUUAUUAGGGAAGAACAAAUGUGUAAGUAACUAUGCACGUCUUGACGGUACCUAAUCAGAAAGCCACGGCUAACUACGUG